ACCACAGCAUGACUGUUUCAAGCAGCUGGAAAAUGGAUAUUCUCUUUUUGAACUGGUUGGUCAUCCCUAAUGUUCCAGCCCAUGAAGAAGCUGCUUUCUUAUAUACAAUGAAUCCUGAAGACCAUAAUUCCAAUCAAAUUUCUUGAAGGCCUCCAUGAGCUCUUUGAUUGUCAAGUCCAGACCAUACAAUGUUUUGCUCACAAUGUUCAUUUUUUGUAUACAAUAUGGUACAGUCUUAGAAAAACAAGAAACAAAAAUUCAGAAAUGUUUGUUUGCAAGCUA
Molecule: long non-coding RNA, 282 nt
Organism: Gopherus flavomarginatus (Mexican gopher tortoise)
Lineage: Eukaryota; Metazoa; Chordata; Testudines; Testudinidae
Exons: 2
Source: RefSeq, a predicted model, not a curated record